CGGCGAGUGAAGCGGCAGCAGCUCAAAUUUGAAAUCUGGCUCCCCUCGGGGGUCCGAGUUGUAAUUUGCAGAAGAGGCUUCGAGCGGGGCGUCGGUCUAAGUUCCUUGGAACAGGACGUCGCAGAGGGUGAGAAUCCCGUACGGGAUCGCGCGCCUCCGCUCGCGUGAAGCUCUUUCGACGAGUCGAGUUGUUUGGGAAUGCAGCUCUAAGCGGGUGGUAAAUUUCAUCUAAAGCUAAAUACGGGCCAGAGACCGAUAGCGCACAAGUAGAGUGAUCGAAAGAUGAAAAGCACUUUGGAAAGAGGGUUAAACAGUACGUGAAAUUGUUGAAAGGGAAGCGUUGGCCACCAGACGUGGGCGCGGGCGAUCAUCCGGGGCUCGCCCCGGUGCACUCGUCCGCGCGCAGGCCCGCAUCGGUUUCGGUGGUCGGAGAAAGGUCGCGGGAACGUGGCGCCCCCUCGGGGGCGUGUUACAGCCCGCGGCGCCAUGCGACCCACCGGGAUCGAGGACCGCGCUUCGGCUAGGAUGCGGGCGUAAUGGUGGUCAACGACCCGUCUUGAAACACGGACCAAGGAGUCUAACAUCUAUGCGAGUAUCUGGGUGCCAAACCCACGUGCGGAAUGAAAGUGAACGGAGGUGAGAACCCGCGAGGGCGCAUCAUCGACCGAUCCGGAUGUCUUCGGAUGGAUUUGAGUAGGAGCAUAGCUGUUGGGACCCGAAAGAGUGUGAACUUUACGUGGAUAGGGUGAAGUCAAGGGAAACCUUGAUGGAGGCUCGCAGCGGUUCUGACGUGCAAAUCGAUCGUCGAAUCUGCGUAAAGGGGCGAAAGACUAAUCGAACAUU
RNAcentral lists this ribosomal RNA (843 nucleotides) under Ionomidotis fulvotingens. RNAcentral describes it as "eukaryotic LSU rRNA". It matches the Rfam family "Eukaryotic large subunit ribosomal RNA", at positions 87 to 943 of the family's 3401-position model. Lineage: Eukaryota; Fungi; Ascomycota; Leotiomycetes; Helotiales; Cordieritidaceae. The record is from RNAcentral.